This is a long non-coding RNA of Bactrocera tryoni, 201 nucleotides long. RefSeq lists it as uncharacterized. The record is from RefSeq and is a predicted model, not a curated record. Lineage: Eukaryota; Metazoa; Arthropoda; Insecta; Diptera; Tephritidae. The transcript has 2 exons.
GACCAUCCAAUCGGUUUGCAGAGUUCCUACUUAAAAUAGGAACCUGUGUUAGAACAGUUGACCAACUUAUUGAUAACGUGUAUCCAGAUAUUAUUAAUUUGCACCACAAGGACUCUAAGUGGUUAUAUGAGCGAGCUAUAAUUACUUCGACGAAUUCCGCUGCAGACGAAAUUAACAAAGCCGUUUGUCAAAGAAUAUUAU